GAUGAACGCUGGCGGCGUGCCUAAUACAUGCAAGUCGAGCGAACAGACGAGGCUCUCGCCUCUCUUACGUUAGCGGCGGACGGGUGAGUAAUACGUGGAUAACUGACCUAUAAGACUGGGAUAACUUCGGGAAACCGGAGCCAAUACCGGACAAGAUAUUGAACGGCAUGGUUCAAUAGUGAAAGACGGAUUUGCUGACACUAGUAGAGGGAUCCGGGUCGGAUUAGCUAGUUGGUAGGGUAACGGCUUACCAAGGCUACGAUGCGUAGCUGAUCUGAGAGGAUGAUCAGUCACACUGGAACUGAGACACGGUCCAGACUCCUACGGGAGGCAGCAGUAGGGAAUCUUGCACAAUGGGCGAAAGCCUGACGGAGCAACGCCGCGUGAGUGAAGAAGGUCUUCGGAUCGUAAAGCUCUGUUAUUUGGGAAGAACAGAUGUAUGAGUAACUAUGCACGUCUUGACGGUACCUAAACAAAAAGCCACGGCUAACUACGUG
This 497-nucleotide ribosomal RNA is filed under the name uncultured bacterium. Its description in RNAcentral is "partial 16S ribosomal RNA". It matches the Rfam family "Bacterial small subunit ribosomal RNA", at positions 28 to 507 of the family's 1533-position model. The record is from RNAcentral.